RNAcentral lists this ribosomal RNA (253 nucleotides) under uncultured bacterium. Its description in RNAcentral is "partial 16S ribosomal RNA". It matches the Rfam family "Bacterial small subunit ribosomal RNA", at positions 524 to 776 of the family's 1533-position model. The record is from RNAcentral.
UACAUGGGGUGCAAACGUUGCUCGGAAUUAUUGGGCGUAAAGCGCGCGUAGGCGGUUACUUAUGUCGGAUGUGAAAGCCCUCGGCUUAACUGAGGAAGUGCAUUCGAAACUGGGUAGCUAGAGUACUAAAGAGGGUCGCGGAAUUCCCGGUGUAGAGGUGAAAUGCGUAGAUAUCAGGAGGAACACCGGUGGUGUAGACGGCUUUCUGGACCGUAACUGACGCUGAAACACGAAAGCGUGGGUAGCAAACAGG